This 582-nucleotide ribosomal RNA is filed under the name Triticum aestivum (bread wheat). RNAcentral's name for it is "partial small subunit ribosomal RNA". The record is from RNAcentral. Lineage: Eukaryota; Viridiplantae; Streptophyta; Magnoliopsida; Poales; Poaceae.
AUGUGGACCUGUCUUCGUCAGCGCUAUGAGCCAUCUGGUGAUGCCUUAUAACUUUCUGUGGUCCGUCAGGAGCAUGCUCUUCAGCAGGGUGACUCUACUGUUGAUGACUUCUAUGCACAGAGUUCUGCUAUCUGGCGCCAGCUUGAUUCUCUCCGCAAUGCUGGUUGUCGUACUUGCCCCUGUUGCCAGGCAGUCCAGGCCAAUUUGGAGUUCCAUCAUGUCUACGAGUUCCUGUCUCGGCUCCGUAAGGAGUUUGAGCCCCGACGUGCUCAGUUGUUUGCUCGUGGCCAUAUUUCUCUCAUGGAGGAGCUUUUUGAGAUUCGUGCUGAGGAGACUCGCUUACGUGGUGCUGGUUUGCUAGAGGUUCCCUCUGUGCUCGCUACUCGAGCUUCUUCCAUGCCACCUGCUCCAACCCCUUCUCGCUCGAGUGCUCCGCCGCUCUUGCCCACUCCUUUUGGAGGCUCAGGUCGCCCCCGUCCACAUUGCGACUACUGCAACAAUGAUGGUCAUAUUGAGCCCCAAUGCUACACAAAGAGGAAACACCUGCGCAGGGCGCGAUCAUCAUCUUUAGGGACUUCGUCA